This is an unclassified non-coding RNA of Gorilla gorilla gorilla (western lowland gorilla), 71 nucleotides long. It matches the Rfam family "Y RNA". Rfam says of the family: Y RNAs are components of the Ro ribonucleoprotein particle (Ro RNP), in association with Ro60 and La proteins. The Y RNAs and Ro60 and La proteins are well conserved, but the function of the Ro RNP is not known. The record is from Ensembl. NCBI's taxonomy places the organism in Eukaryota, Metazoa, Chordata, Mammalia, Primates, Hominidae.
AAGGCUGGUUUAUAGCUUAUCACAACCAGUUACAAAUUUAUUUGUUCCUUCUCCAUUCCCACUGCUUCACU